GAAAGGUAAGAAAACGCCCUACAUGAUUCUCAUACUGAUUAACACUAAUUACUCACGGAAAAUCCCCAGAAAAUGCUAAUACUGCUGCUGUUCGUCCACCUGAAAAUCUGUUUUUUGGGACAGCCAAAUACCCGGAUUCAAACGGUGAUAUCUUUUAAUUUAUAACUCCAAAUUGAGCGUAUAAAUACUCGUUGGAAAGGUAUGCCAAAGUUCUACAUGAUUCCCAAACUGAUUCCCAUUAAUUUCCCAUGAAAAAUGCCCAGAAACCACUAAUACGGCUGCUGUUCGUCCACCUGAAAAUCUGUUUUUUUGGACAGCCACAUACCCGGAUUCAAACGGUGAUAUCUUUUAAUUUAUAACUCCAAAUUGAGCGCAUAAAUACUCGUUGGAAAGGUAUGCCAAAGUUAUACAUGAUUUCCAAACUGAUUCCCAUUAAUUUUGUGACACCCCAGUGUCACC
This 459-nucleotide long non-coding RNA is filed under the name Zea mays. Its description in RNAcentral is "long non-coding RNA (ZMAY_LNC002362)". Lineage: Eukaryota; Viridiplantae; Streptophyta; Magnoliopsida; Poales; Poaceae. The record is from RNAcentral.